UCCGGUUUGGCACCGGCAGUCUCCGAAGAGUCCCCGGCAUAACCCGCUGGCAACAUAGAACGAGGGUUGCGCUCGUUGCGGGACUUAACCCAACAUCUCACGACACGAGCUGACGACAACCAUGCACCACCUGUAAACCGGCCGCAAGCGGGGCACCUGUUUCCAGGUCUUUCCGGUUCAUGUCAAGCCUUGGUAAGGUUCUUCGCGUUGCAUCGAAUUAAUCCGCAUGCUCCGCCGCUUGUGCGGGCCCCCGUCAAUUCCUUUGAGUUUCAACCUUGCGGUCGUACUCCCCAGGCGGGGUACUUCCUGCGUUAGCGCCGACACCCAGAGGGUCGCUCCCCCAGGCACCUAGUACCCAUCGUUUACGGCGUGGACUAC
This 378-nucleotide unclassified non-coding RNA is filed under the name uncultured bacterium. RNAcentral's name for it is "contains 16S-23S intergenic spacer region". The record is from RNAcentral.